GAUGAAGAACGUAGUGAAAUGCGAUAAGUAAUGUGAAUUGCAGAAUUCAGUGAAUCAUCGAAUCUUUGAACGCACCUUGCGCCCUUUGGCUAUUCCGAAGGGCAUGCCUGUUUGAGUAUCGUGAACACCUCAACUCUCAUGGUUUGCCAUGAUGAGCUUGGACUUUGGGGGUUUUGCUGGCCUUUGGUCGGCUCCUCUCAAACGGAUCAGCUUUCCAGUUUUUGGUGGCGUCACGGGUGUGAUAACUAUCUACGCCUGUGGUUUUCUGCCAGAUAACCUUCAGCGAUGGAGGUUCGCUGGGGCUCAUAAAUGUCUCUCUUCAGUGGAGACAGCUUUUUGGACGUUUGAUCUCAAAUCAGGUAGGACUACCCGCUGAACUUAAGCAUAUCAAUAAGCGGAGGA
This 402-nucleotide unclassified non-coding RNA is filed under the name soil metagenome. RNAcentral describes it as "partial contains 5.8S ribosomal RNA, internal transcribed spacer 2, and large subunit ribosomal RNA". The stretch from base 1 to 121 matches the Rfam family "5.8S ribosomal RNA", at positions 35 to 154 of the family's 154-position model. The record is from RNAcentral.